RNAcentral lists this ribosomal RNA (541 nucleotides) under uncultured bacterium. RNAcentral's name for it is "partial 16S ribosomal RNA". It matches the Rfam family "Bacterial small subunit ribosomal RNA", at positions 355 to 887 of the family's 1533-position model. The record is from RNAcentral.
UGGGGAAUUUUGGACAAUGGGCGAAAGCCUGAUCCAGCAAUGCCGCGUGUGUGAAGAAGGCCUUCGGGUUGUAAAGCACUUUUGUCCGGAAAGAAAUCCUCUGGGUUAAUACCUCGGGGGGAUGACGGUACCGGAAGAAUAAGCACCGGCUAACUACGUGCCAGCAGCCGCGGUAAUACGUAGGGUGCAAGCGUUAAUCGGAAUUACUGGGCGUAAAGCGUGCGCAGGCGGUUUUGUAAGACGGAUGUGAAAUCCCCGGGCUUAACCUGGGAACUGCAUUCGUGACUGCAAGGCUAGAGUAUGGCAGAGGGGGGUAGAAUUCCACGUGUAGCAGUGAAAUGCGUAGAGAUGUGGAGGAAUACCGAUGGCGAAGGCAGCCCCCUGGGCCAAAUACUGACGCUCAUGCACGAAAGCGUGGGGAGCAAACAGGAUUCAGAUACCCUGGUAGUCCACGCCCUAAACGAUGUCAACUAGUUGUUGGGGAUUCAUUUCCUUAGUAACGUAGCUAACGCGUGAAGUUGACCGCCUGGGGAGUACGGUC